CUAACCUCUCACUCCCCAGAUACGUUAAGAAAGAUCAGAUGUUGGCCAUUGGAUAAUUUGGACAAUAGUGCAAAAUCGAGGCGGGGCUCCUUGAUAGAUAGCUGCCCUGUGUGGGAAGUGCUACUCUUAGCUCAAUUUUAUGGAUGAGGAAAUUAAGGCUGAAGAAAGCUCCAUGGCCCCAAAGGAUGCACAGAAGAGAAAAGAUUGUGUGGGGACACAGGAAGAAAGGUGACCAUCUACAAGCCAAGAGAGAGCUCUCACCAGAAACCAACCCUGCCAUCUCCUUGGCCUUAGAACCCAGCCUCCAGAAACAGUUUGAGAAAACAAAUUUCUGUGGUUUAAACC
Long non-coding RNA from Mustela erminea (ermine), 345 nucleotides. RefSeq lists it as uncharacterized. The record is from RefSeq and is a predicted model, not a curated record. Lineage: Eukaryota; Metazoa; Chordata; Mammalia; Carnivora; Mustelidae. The transcript has 3 exons.